AGUGAACGCUGGCGGCGUGCUUAACACAUGCAAGUCGAACGAGAACGGAAUAUAGCUUGCUAUAUUUGUCAGCUAAGUGGCGCACGGGUGAGUAAUGUAUAGAUAACCUGCCCUUAAGAAAGGAAUAACAGUUGGAAACGACUGCUAAUGCCCUAUAUGCCUUUAAUACAUAAGUAUGCAAGGGAAACGCUUUAGUGCUUAAGGAUGGGUCUGUAUGGUAUCAGCUUGUUAGUGAGGUAAUGGCUCACCAAGGCUAUGACGCCUAACUGGUUUGAGAGGAUGAUCAGUCACACUGGAGCUGAGACACGGUCCAGACUCCUACGGGAGGCAGCAGUGGGGAAUAUUGCACAAUGGACGAAAGUCUGAUGCAGCAACGCCGCGUGGAGGAUGACACAUUUCGGUGCGUAAACUCCUUUUAUAUAGGAAGAUAAUGACGGUACUAUAUGAAUAAGCACCGGCUAACUCCGUGCCAGCCGCCGCGGUAA
This 485-nucleotide ribosomal RNA is filed under the name uncultured bacterium. RNAcentral describes it as "partial 16S ribosomal RNA". It matches the Rfam family "Bacterial small subunit ribosomal RNA", at positions 29 to 523 of the family's 1533-position model. The record is from RNAcentral.